RNAcentral lists this ribosomal RNA (440 nucleotides) under uncultured bacterium. RNAcentral describes it as "partial 16S ribosomal RNA". It matches the Rfam family "Bacterial small subunit ribosomal RNA", at positions 338 to 795 of the family's 1533-position model. The record is from RNAcentral.
GCUACGGGAGGCAGCAGUGGGGAAUAUUGCACAAUGGGGGAAACCCUGAUGCAGCGACGCCGCGUGAGUGAAGAAGUAUCUCGGUACGUAAAGCUCUAUCAGCAGGGAAGAUAAUGACGGUACCUGACCAAUAAGCCCCGGCUAACUACGUGCCAGCAGCCGCGGUAAUACGUAGGGGGCAAGCGUUAUCCGGAUUGACUGGGUGAAAAGGGAGCGUAGACGGCAGGACAAGUCUGAAGUGAAAUCCCGGGGCUUAACCCCGGAACUGCAUUGGAUACUGUGCGGCUGGAGUGCAGGAGGGGUAGGCGGAAUUCCUAGUGUAGCGGUGAAAUGCGUAGAUAGUAGGAGGAACACCGGUGGCGAAGGCGGCCUACUGGACUGUAACUGACGUUGAGGCUCGAAAGCGUGGGGAGCAAACAGGAUUAGAUACCCCGGUAGUC